Molecule: ribosomal RNA, 315 nt
Filed under: uncultured bacterium
Lineage: Bacteria
Description: bacterial SSU rRNA
Rfam family: Bacterial small subunit ribosomal RNA
Source: RNAcentral
GAUGAACGCUAGCUACAGGCUUAACACAUGCAAGUCGAGGGGCAGCAUGAAUUUACUUCGGUAAAUUUGAUGGCGACCGGCGCACGGGUGCGUAACGCGUAUCCAACCUUCCCGUUACUCUGGGAUAGCCUUCCGAAAGGGAGAUUAAUACCGGAUGGUGUUCAAGUGGUGCAUAUUACCUGAACUAAAGAUUUAUCGGUAACGGAUGGGGAUGCGUACCAUUAGAUAGUAGGCGGGGUAACGGCCCACCUAGUCGACGAUGGUUAGGGGUUCUGAGAGGAAGGUCCCCCACACUGGAACUGAGACACGGUCCAG